RNAcentral lists this unclassified non-coding RNA (221 nucleotides) under fungal sp. RNAcentral's name for it is "partial internal transcribed spacer region". The stretch from base 1 to 46 matches the Rfam family "Eukaryotic small subunit ribosomal RNA", at positions 1786 to 1831 of the family's 1831-position model. The record is from RNAcentral. Lineage: Eukaryota; Fungi.
AAGUCGUAACAAGGUUUCCGUAGGUGAACCUGCGGAAGGAUCAUUAUAAAAUUUUUCUUGCAUAUUUUUUUAAAAUGUGUAAAAAAAAUCUUGUAUUCAAAACCCACACUCUUUAAAACCAUAAUAAAAAAAUUUUUAUGUUUAUAUACAUGAAAUUUUUUUAUUUAAAAAUAAUAUAUAUAAUAAAAAGACAACUUUCAACAACGGAUCUCUUGGCUCUC